This is a non-coding RNA of Erythranthe guttata (spotted monkey flower), 1515 nucleotides long. The record is from RefSeq and is a predicted model, not a curated record. Lineage: Eukaryota; Viridiplantae; Streptophyta; Magnoliopsida; Lamiales; Phrymaceae.
CCAACAGUGCAAUCCUAGGAGGCUAAUCCAAUCCCAUCCAAACCCAUCUUGAAAAGCAAAAGGGCCCUUACUAUAUGUUUGCAUCUCCUUUGAUUUUAUAUCUGCUGCGUACUGUAAAUUACAUAGAAUUGUUGACAUAUCUGCUCUUGCGAUGGAGCUAUCCUCUCUCUUCGACGGCGGCAACCCCUUCCAACCAUAUAUAUGAAGCUACAAGUUUGGACUGAUCAGUGUAUGUUUCUUGGUUUAUGCAACUUCAAGAUGGUGAUCUGGCUUUUCUCGACAACCAAUGGCGCCUGAUUUUUUGCCAAUUCAGGUAUGUACACUUCUCCCCUUUUCUGUGUGUGUUAUAGGUUUUAUUUUUCGGUAUGAAAUACUGAAUUGAAAUGUUUGAGCCUCUUUUUUUCCUCUCAUCAAAGAAUGUAGACCGCACAACAAAAUUUUCAAGGGGAAGAAGAGAGGCAGGUUCAACCUCGUAAUUACGAUUACGCUAAGCCUCUUGUUCGUUUAUUGUCAUGUGUAACGUUGGUGAUAUAUAAUGAUAUUACAGUUCAAAAUUUACGGUGUGACAAGUUAAUUAAAAAAACAUUAUCCUGCCCUUUAUGUUCUCUUUUAUUUAAGGGAUCAUUACGACUAUAAAAUCCAACUCACCAACGAUACUCUUUAUUUGAAGAACCGCGGGUUGGAUGAUUACGAAAAAAUUCGACCAUGAUUCCCUCACGGCAAUUUUUCAAACUUGGUGUUGCAUACAUACCUCUAUUUGGAUCCGAGUCGGAACUUCUUUGCUUAUGGCUUCCAAAGGUUGAGUCGUGGUGCAGGUUAGCCCUUUUUUGGUGUUUCGGCUUCGGUUUGCUGUUGCUCUCUCUGUUCGUAUACAGGUUUGCCGCUUGUUCAAGAAUUAUAUUGAUGUCUUCCAGUGAAGUUUACUUCUUAUAGCUGAUUUUAUUCGGCCGAGUGAAUUCUCAGCUGGAGUUGAGUUCGUCCACAUCUGUAGACGGCGCCACUCUGACGAGUAGCUUUGCGCUUCCGACGACUUCGUUUGACGUUGGACUUCUUUAUAUUACUUUGAUUUAUGCCUCUUAUAUUUGUAUUUUUUCCUUACAAUUUACUUCUUGUACAUUAUCCUUCAAAAUUUUUGCUCCCUCUCUCCACCACCUCCUUAUUUCCCGGCCUCCGUCAACUGGACACACGAGGCACACAUUCCGGCGGUUUUCGAUUUGUGUUCUCAUAUUUUCCAAUUCUCCCUGCGCAUAUUGGUGCUUUAGGAAAGUGGAUGAAUCGCUGCUCGAUCUCAAAAGGCCUUCCCUAUUUCCUUCUAUGAUUGUUUCUUUUGUUUAGGAAAGCGGAUGAAAUCGCUGCUCGAUCGCAAAAAACCCUCCCUCUCUUCUAUGAAUAUUUGUUUUCGUAGUUGGGGCUAUUAGGUCUUUAAUUUAAGCAACCUGGAUCGUAUAAUUGCAUUUUCAGAACUUUCGAAUGCAACAAAAUCAGGUGAGGAAUCACACGUUCACCUCAUAUUCA